AGUGAACGCUGGCGGUAGGCCUAACACAUGCAAGUCGAACGGCAGCACAGUAAGAGCUUGCUCUUACGGGUGGCGAGUGGCGGACGGGUGAGGAAUACAUCGGAAUCUACUUUUUCGUGGGGGAUAACGUAGGGAAACUUACGCUAAUACCGCAUACGACCUACGGUGAAAGCAGGGGAUCUUCGGACCUUGCGCGAUUGAAUGAGCCGAUGUCGGAUUAGCUAGUUGGCGGGGUAAAGGCCCACCAAGGCGACGAUCCGUAGCUGGUCUGAGAGGAAGAUCAGCCACACUGGAACUGAGACACGGUCCAGACUCCUACGGGAGGCAGCAGUGGGGAAUAUUGGACAAUGGGCGCAAGCCUGAUCCAGCCAUACCGCGUGGGUGAAGAAGGCCUUCGGGUUGUAAAGCCCUUUUGUUGGGAAAGAAAAGCAGCAGGUUAAUACCCCGCUGUUCUGACGGUACCCAAAGAAUAAGCACCGGCUAACUUCGUG
This 491-nucleotide ribosomal RNA is filed under the name uncultured bacterium. RNAcentral's name for it is "partial 16S ribosomal RNA". It matches the Rfam family "Bacterial small subunit ribosomal RNA", at positions 29 to 507 of the family's 1533-position model. The record is from RNAcentral.